UUCCUGGUGGCUCAGACGGUAAAGUGUCUGCCUGUAAUGCAGGAGACCCAGGUUUGAUCCCUGGGUCAGGAAG
Non-coding RNA from Bubalus bubalis (water buffalo), 73 nucleotides. NCBI's taxonomy places the organism in Eukaryota, Metazoa, Chordata, Mammalia, Artiodactyla, Bovidae. The record is from the annotation of a RefSeq genome assembly.